This 71-nucleotide transfer RNA is filed under the name Loxodonta africana (African savanna elephant). It matches the Rfam family "tRNA". Rfam says of the family: Transfer RNA (tRNA) molecules are approximately 80 nucleotides in length. Their secondary structure includes four short double-helical elements and three loops (D, anti-codon, and T loops). Further hydrogen bonds mediate the characteristic L-shaped molecular structure. tRNAs have two regions of fundamental functional importance: the anti-codon, which is responsible for specific mRNA codon recognition, and the 3' end, to which the tRNAs corresponding amino acid is attached (by aminoacyl-tRNA synthetases). tRNAs cope with the degeneracy of the genetic code in two manners: having more than one tRNA (with a specific anti-codon) for a particular amino acid; and 'wobble' base-pairing, i.e. permitting non-standard base-pairing at the 3rd anti-codon position. Lineage: Eukaryota; Metazoa; Chordata; Mammalia; Proboscidea; Elephantidae. The record is from Rfam by way of RNAcentral.
ACAUUUGUAGUUCGGUGGUAGAAUUCUCACUUUUCAUGAGGGAGACCUGGGUUCUAUUCCCCGCCAAUGCA